UCUGGUGGGUAGUUUGACCGGGGCGGUUUCCCCCCUAAGAGUAACGGAGGAGCACGCAGGUUUGCUAGUCCAGGUCGGACAUCAGUAGGUUAGUGCCGUGGCGUACGCUAGCUUGAUUGUGAGCGUGACGGCGCGAGCAGGUACGAAAGCAGGUCAUAUUGUUGUGGUGGUACUGACUGGAAGGGCCAUCGCGCAACGGAUAAAAGGUACUCUGGGGAUAACAGGCUGAUACCCCCCAAGAGUUCGUAUCGACGGCGGUGUUUGGCACCUCGAUGUCGGCUCAUCACAUCCUGGGGCUUAAGUAGGUCCCAAGGGUAUGGCUGUUCGCCAUUUAAAGUGGUACGCGAGCUGGGUUUAGAACGUCGUGAGACAGUUCGGUCCCUAUCUGCCGUGGGCGCUGGAGAAUUGAGGGGGGCUGCUCCUAGUACG
This 429-nucleotide ribosomal RNA is filed under the name Klebsiella variicola. RNAcentral's name for it is "partial 23S ribosomal RNA". It matches the Rfam family "Bacterial large subunit ribosomal RNA", at positions 2257 to 2685 of the family's 2925-position model. The record is from RNAcentral. Lineage: Bacteria; Pseudomonadati; Pseudomonadota; Gammaproteobacteria; Enterobacterales; Enterobacteriaceae.